AUGUAUACCACCAGUCUGUUACGACUUGAUUGGACGGCGCCAUCUUGAUUAACAUUUGCCAUGUUUGUUAAUACAUAAGCUGUCGAGCUUACAUUACGUGAGGUGCACGAGUCCAAGACUCUUCAUUUAUCACCAGGAGAUGACAAUCACACCUAGAUGUACGGUCACCAUCAACGAGAUGUUCAAGUUUAGCUGAUACCUUAAUUCUCCAUCUGUUUGAGAACAGUGAGAAAUGCCAUCAUAAGAGAUAAUGUUUCCUGUUCAAUGAUUAAGAAAACGUUUCCCCGACAAGGAAUUCUCUCCACGCCAUCCUUUGUCCUAUGACCUUAUGCACUCUUGUUAUCUUGUUUACAAACAAAGAAAUGACAGGAGAUAUGAAAACCUACAGACAACACCGGGUCAGUGAUUUUGGCUAAGAUAUUCUCUCCUGACACUGAUGUCAAUUAACAUGGAUGUGAUCAGAGUAAUACAUCCCCUGAUGUAACGUAAUUGUAGCCAGUUGUUCAAUAGUCAUCAAUUUAGCCUUGUUUUGUAUUUUUGUGUCUC
Molecule: long non-coding RNA, 546 nt
Organism: Ylistrum balloti
Lineage: Eukaryota; Metazoa; Mollusca; Bivalvia; Pectinida; Pectinidae
Exons: 3
Source: RefSeq, a predicted model, not a curated record